CCUACGGGGGGCUGCAGUGGGGAAUAUUGCACAAUGGGGGGGACCCUGAUGCAGCGACGCCGCGUGGGUGAAGGAGUAUUUCGGUAUGUAAAGCCCUAUCAGCAGGGAAGAACCAUGACGGUACCUGACUCAGAAGCACCGGGUAAAUACGUGCCAGCAGCCGCGGUAAUGCGUAGGGUGCAGCCGUUAUGCGGAUUUACUGGGGGUAAAGGGAGCGCAGGCGGCGCGUUAAGCCUGGUGUGAAAGUCCGGGGCCCAACCGCGGGACUGAAUUGGGAACUGGCGCGCUGGAGUGCCGGAGGGGUAGGCGGAAUGCCUAGUGUAGCGGUGAAAUGCGUAGAUAUUAGGAGGAACACCAGUGGCGAAGGCGGCCUACUGGACGGUGACUGACGCUGAGGCUCGAAAGCGUGGGGAGCAAACAGGAUUAGAUACCCCGGUAGUC
Molecule: ribosomal RNA, 441 nt
Filed under: uncultured bacterium
Lineage: Bacteria
Description: partial 16S ribosomal RNA
Rfam family: Bacterial small subunit ribosomal RNA
Source: RNAcentral